AGUCGAGCGGAUGAGAGGAGCUUGCUCCCUCAAUUCAGCGGCGGACGGGUGAGUAAUGCCUAGGAAUCUGCCUAGUAGUGGGGGACAACGUUUCGAAAGGAACGCUAAUACCGCAUACGUCCUACGGGAGAAAGUGGGGGAUCUUCGGACCUCACGCUAUUAGAUGAGCCUAGGUCGGAUUAGCUAGUUGGUAGGGUAAAGGCCUACCAAGGCGACGAUCCGUAACUGGUCUGAGAGGAUGAUCAGUCACACUGGAACUGAGACACGGUCCAGACUCCUACGGGAGGCAGCAGUGGGGAAUAUUGGACAAUGGGCGAAAGCCUGAUCCAGCCAUGCCGCGUGUGUGAAGAAGGCCUUCGGGUCGUAAAGCACUUUAAGUUGGGAGGAAGGGCUUACAGCGAAUACCUGUGAGUUUUGACGUUACCGACAGAAUAAGCACCGGCUAACUUCGUGCCAGCAGCCGCGGUAAUACGAAGGGUGCAAGCGUUAAUCGGAAUUACUGGGCGUAAAGCGCGCGUAGGUGGCUUGAUAAGUUGGAUGUGAAAUCCCCGGGCUCAACCUGGGAACUGCAUCCAAAACUGUCUGGCUAGAGUGCGGUAGAGGGUAGUGGAAUUUCCAGUGUAGCGGUGAAAUGCGUAGAUAUUGGAAGGAACACCAGUGGCGAAGGCGACUACCUGGACUGACACUGACACUGAGGUGCGAAAGCGUGGGGAGCAAACAGGAUUAGAUACCCUGGUAGUCCACGCCGUAAACGAUGUCAACUAGCCGUUGGGAUCCUUGAGAUCUUAGUGGCGCAGCUAACGCAUUAAGUUGACCGCCUGGGGAGUACGGCCGCAAGGUUAAAACUCAAAUGAAUUGACGGGGGCCGCACAAGCGGUGGA
RNAcentral lists this ribosomal RNA (881 nucleotides) under Pseudomonas sp. RNAcentral describes it as "bacterial SSU rRNA". It matches the Rfam family "Bacterial small subunit ribosomal RNA", at positions 60 to 936 of the family's 1533-position model. The record is from RNAcentral. Lineage: Bacteria; Pseudomonadati; Pseudomonadota; Gammaproteobacteria; Pseudomonadales; Pseudomonadaceae.